This 1882-nucleotide long non-coding RNA is filed under the name Homo sapiens (human). RNAcentral's name for it is "non-protein coding FLNC-AS1:9". The stretch from base 1578 to 1694 matches the Rfam family "Metazoan signal recognition particle RNA". The record is from RNAcentral. Lineage: Eukaryota; Metazoa; Chordata; Mammalia; Primates; Hominidae.
AUGACCGGGGCCGGAGCGGUGUGGCCUGGACCCAGGAGGUGGCGGUGCUGCUGGGAGACAUGGCCGUGCGGCUGCUGCAGGACGGGGCAGUCACGGUGGAUGGGCACCCGGUGGCCUUGCCCUUCCUGCAGGAGCCGCUGCUGUAUGUGGAGCUGCGAGGACACACUGUGAUCCUGCACGCCCAGCCCGGGCUCCAGGUGCGGCUCCAGGGCGAGUCUGGGUGGGCUGCCUGCUGGGAGCUUCAGUCCUGUUUAGGCCUCUGUAUCUGUAGAGGGGGUGGGGAUGCCAGCUACCUCCUAGCCAAAAAAGGCAAGGAGUGGGGUACAGGGGUGUGAGGGGAGGUGGAUCAGGGUCAGAGAUCUCCCCAGGCAGUCAGAGGAGUUCUGAGUUCUGAGCCCGAUUUCUAAUCUCGGCUCAGCCUCUUAAGCCACCACCAGCCUCCUCUGGGCCACAGAUUUCUCGUCUGUAAAGUGGGGAAUGGGAAGGGUCAGUGGCAGUGGGGAGGAUGUCAGCUGAAGUCUCCUGGGGGGGUGUCUCAGGUUCCUUCCAACUCUCAUGUGGAAGAGUAAUUUGCCCCCUGCCCCCAGCAGGAAACACAACUCGUAAAUUCGUAGAAUAAGGGUGUACACUUCUAAUCCGGACCCUAAUUGUGCUUUGUCCUCUGCAAGGCCCGAAUGCCCAUGAGAAAGUGAAUCCCCGGAAGGGGGUUGCAUUUCACCUGGGGCCCAGUGCAGGGAUGGCAGCAGGAGAAGGUGCCCUCAUGCAGGAGCUGUGGGCAGCUCCUCCUGUCAUCUGUCUUUGCCCAGGGCUGGCACAGAAUGUAUCCACUUGGCCUUGGCCAGGGUGGUGUUUCUUCCAAGGGGAGCCUCCACCUGUCCAUUCUCCUCCCCUACAGCACUGGCCGCACUGAACACAGUGCCUGGGGCCAUGAUGGACCCUGGGCUUCUUAAGGCCCCUGUCCUUCCCUGCUCCCCAGUCUCAGGCCUCUCCACACAGGUGCUGUGGGAUGGGCAGUCCCAGGUGGAGGUGAGCGUACCUGGCUCCUACCAGGGCCGGACUUGUGGGCUCUGUGGGAACUUCAAUGGCUUUGCCCAGGACGAUCUGCAGGGCCCUGAGGGGCUGCUCCUGCCCUCGGAGGCUGCGUUUGGGAAUAGCUGGCAGGUGCAAGAGGGCCGCGGGUAUCCCCCAGGGCUGGAGCUGCCCCCUGUACUGCUGCAGAUGGAGUGGAGCCGGCGGGCCCAGGAGCAGCUCCUGUGGGACUUGGAACUGCUGACUGGUGUGGAGCUGGGCCUCUUCUGGCCACCCCAGGCCCAGUUUUUCGGUCCGAGGGGCCAGGCCCAGCAAGCAUGGAGCCAGUGCUGUCAGCCAGGUGGUAGCACAGGUGGGGACCCUGAGCAGCCGGUGAGUGGGUGAGGGGGCACGGCGGGGACAGAGGUUCUGGGAACACUGGGGCCCUGCUGUGGUGAGGGCAAGCGGAAGGGGCAGGGUUUUAGAGACAGGGCUGGGUUUGAAUCUCCACACUGACCACCCCCGUGGGCUCUGAGUUUACCUUUCCUCAGCUAGAAAAUGCCCACGAGGCCAGGCGUGGUGGCUCACGCCUGUAAUCCCAGCACUUUGGGAGGCCGAGGUGGGCGGAUCACCUGAGGUCGGGAGUUCGAGACCAGCCUGACCAACAUGGAGAAACCCCGUCUCUACUAAAAAUACAAAAAUUAUCCAGGUGUGACAGCAUAUGCCUGUACCUGUAAUCCCAGCUACUCAGGAGGCUGAGGCAGCAGAAUCAGUUGAACCUGGGAGGUGAAGGUUGCAGUGAGCCGAGAUCGCACCAUUGUACUCCAAUGUGGGCAACAAGAACCAAACUCCGUUUCCCCCAAGCCCCCCGGCC